RNAcentral lists this small RNA (1380 nucleotides) under Rattus norvegicus (Norway rat). RNAcentral describes it as "uncharacterized LOC102553680". The record is from RNAcentral. Lineage: Eukaryota; Metazoa; Chordata; Mammalia; Rodentia; Muridae.
CACAAAUAAAUGAAUACAUAAUAUAGCAUAUUUCCUACAGUAAGUAAUUAAUAGGUAAUAUAUGACAUUCCUCAUUUAGGGACUAGAGAAAAGGCUCAGAGGCUAAGAAUAUGCAUGCACCACCCAUGCAGAGGACCUGAAUUCUGUUCCCAGCACUCAUAUCAGGUGGAUCACAACUGCGUCGAACUCCAGCUCCAGGGGAGCUGAUACCCUCUACUGGCCAAUGUGGCAAAACAUGUGGUGAGGUCACAGAUGGUCAGAGGUCAGCACCACCCAGAGAGAGGCCAGACCUACGGAGUAAUUAAAGCCCCAGCAGUCAGGGGUGAACUGGCAAAGAUGAACUAACCUGAAACCCCUCCUCUGUGGAAGACCAUCUCCCCACCUCUCACCUGAGACGGCAUCAGGCCAUCUCUCCAGAGCUAAGCAAAAUGAAUGUGAAAUUUGAUGACAGACUGAGGAUCAUUGCAGUCCCCAAAGAAGACACAUGAAUGGCCAAAGAUUUGCAUUUCGUCAUUAAGUCUCAGAAGCAGCUUUGCGAAGUCGGCAGCAGGAAGGGAAGGAGAUGUUCUGGAUGGUUCUGUCUCCAAAGGCCCACCAAGGAACAGAAAACAAGGUCUAUCCUAUGUAAGAGAGGGAGCCAGGAUGAGAACCUGCUUCAGCUGGUGUCCUUAGAGGAUCACACCUACAGGGAAAAUGUAAGUUAAGAAACAAAAUGAAACAAAGCUACCUGUCUGCUAGCUCAGCAAGAUAAUAGGAAAGCAGAUUGUCCUCUGCGGGGCCCUUGGUGGACCAGGUGUCUUACACACACAGGUUAGGUUUGAAUCUGUAUAACCCAGAAGGAUGGAGACUCACAAGCCAAAGCUUUCAUAUAAAAAGGGGACCCAGGCUGCUUAUCAGCUUGAUUUACUCCAAAAGUAAAAGUGGUAAUCUUUUGCUGAAGGACUAAUCCAGAAUCUAGGAUGAGAGGAAUCUCACAGAGAUGAGAACACAACCCACCAUGUUCAAGAGAGGGAGAAUGAGAUGACUAGGACCAGGCUGGAAACUGGAGUAUGGGAAGGUAGAGGAGAAUGUGAGCUUGUCUAAAUUUAACAAAGAAUGUACUCAUGAAUGACACAUAUACACAGUUGCUUAUUGCAGUGAUGCAAAGCAAAGCAAACACAAGGGCAACCUGGAUAGAACAACCCAUGCCAUUGUUUGGAGGACUGAUUAAAAAAAACCGAGCAAACCAGUAGUGAAGAAACACCCCAUGUUCACUAAUAUGAAUCUAGGGAUGUCUCAGUAAUUAAAAACAACUUUUCUAUACUUAGCCAUUUGAUUAAAGAAGUGAGCUUAUGUGUGUGAAAACAAUUUAUAUUUUUGUGUAUAGUAAUUGUUGGCAUU